Molecule: non-coding RNA, 128 nt
Filed under: Gammaproteobacteria bacterium
Lineage: Bacteria; Pseudomonadati; Pseudomonadota; Gammaproteobacteria
Description: FMN sequence
Rfam family: FMN riboswitch aptamer (RFN element)
About the family: The RFN element is a highly conserved domain that is found frequently in the 5'-untranslated regions of prokaryotic mRNAs that encode for flavin mononucleotide (FMN) biosynthesis and transport proteins. This element is a metabolite-dependent riboswitch that directly binds FMN in the absence of proteins.
Source: RNAcentral
GAGCAUCUUCAGGGUCGGGUGUGAUUCCCAACCGGCGGUAAUUUCCUUCUUAGGAAUGAAAGAGCCCGCGAGCCUUUUCCAAGGCAGAUUUGGUGAAAUGCCAAAGCCGACGGUAAAACCGCUUUAAG